Molecule: long non-coding RNA, 379 nt
Filed under: Mytilus galloprovincialis (Mediterranean mussel)
Lineage: Eukaryota; Metazoa; Mollusca; Bivalvia; Mytilida; Mytilidae
Source: RNAcentral
GUUUGAUUUGGAUUUGUCAUUCGUCACGCAUCAUUGUGAUAUGAUAAUGAAUUUGACAAAUGAAAUAUCAUAUGAAUAGAUAUAAGAAGAUGUGGUAUGAGUGCCAAUGAGACAACUCUCCAUCCGAGUCACAAUUUAUAAAAGUAAACCAUGAUAGGUCAAAGUACAUGCUUCAAUACGGAGCAUUAAUGGCAGACACCGAACAGUAAGCUAUAAAGGGCCCCAAACAAUUCUAGUGUCAAAAAAACAAAACGGAAAAACCAACGGUCGAAUCUAUUUAAAAAAACGAGAAACGAGAAACACUUGUGAACCACACCAACAAACGACAACUACUGAACAUCAGUAUAACAUAGAAAAGAACAACAGAAGUAAACACAAG